UAAUGCCCCGCAAAAUCCCAAA
RNAcentral lists this microRNA (22 nucleotides) under Strongylocentrotus purpuratus (purple sea urchin). RNAcentral's name for it is "Spu-Mir-193-P2_3p (mature (guide))". Lineage: Eukaryota; Metazoa; Echinodermata; Echinoidea; Camarodonta; Strongylocentrotidae. The record is from RNAcentral.